Molecule: ribosomal RNA, 777 nt
Filed under: uncultured Alphaproteobacteria bacterium
Lineage: Bacteria; Pseudomonadati; Pseudomonadota; Alphaproteobacteria
Description: bacterial SSU rRNA
Rfam family: Bacterial small subunit ribosomal RNA
Source: RNAcentral
AGUCGAGCGCGCCCUUCGGGGUGAGCGGCGGACGGGUGAGUAACGCGUGGGAAUAUGCCCUUCUCUAAGGAAUAGCCUCUGGAAACGGAGAGUAAUACCUUAUACGCCCUUUGGGGGAAAGAUUUAUCGGAGAAGGAUUAGCCCGCGUUAGAUUAGGUAGUUGGUGGGGUAAUGGCCUACCAAGCCUACGAUCUAUAGCUGGUUUGAGAGGAUGAUCAGCCACACUGGGACUGAGACACGGCCCAGACUCCUACGGGAGGCAGCAGUAGGGAAUCUUAGACAAUGGGGGCAACCCUGAUCUAGCCAUGCCGCGUGUGUGAUGAAGGCCCUAGGGUCGUAAAGCACUUUCGCCAGAGAUGAUAAUGACAGUAUCUGGUAAAGAAACCCCGGCUAACUCCGUGCCAGCAGCCGCGGUAAUACGGAGGGGGUUAGCGUUGUUCGGAAUUACUGGGCGUAAAGCGCACGUAGGCGGAUUAGUAAGUUAGAGGUGAAAUCCCAGGGCUCAACCCUGGAACUGCCUUUAAUACUGCUAGUCUUGAGUUCGAGAGAGGUAAGUGGAAUUCCGAGUGUAGAGGUGAAAUUCGUAUAUUUUCGGAGGAACACCCGUGGCGAAAGCGGCUUACUGGCUCGAUACUGACGCUGAGGUGCGAAAGUGUGGGGGAGCAAACAGGAUUAAAUCCCCUGGUUGUUCCACACCGCUAACCAUGAAUGCCAGAACGUCAGCCAGUAUUCUUUGUUGGGUGUCCCACCCUAACGGAAUAAGCCUUUCCCCCCGGG